RNAcentral lists this ribosomal RNA (468 nucleotides) under uncultured bacterium. RNAcentral's name for it is "partial 16S ribosomal RNA". It matches the Rfam family "Bacterial small subunit ribosomal RNA", at positions 28 to 507 of the family's 1533-position model. The record is from RNAcentral.
GACGAACGCUGGCGGCGUGCUUAACACAUGCAAGUCGAACGGAAAGGCCCUGCUUUUGUGGGGUGCUCGAGUGGCGAACGGGUGAGUAACACGUGAGUAACCUGCCCUUGACUUUGGGAUAACUUCAGGAAACUGGGGCUAAUACCGGAUAGGAGCUCCUGCUGCAUGGUGGGGGUUGGAAAGUUUCGGCGGUUGGGGCUGGACUCGCGGCUUAUCAGCUUGUUGGUGGGGUGGUGGCUUACCAAGGCUUUGACGGGUAGCCGGCCUGAGAGGGUGACCGGCCACAGUGGGACUGAGAUACGGCCCAGACUCCUACGGGAGGCAGCAGUGGGGAAUAUUGCACAAUGGGCGGAAGCCUGAUGCAGCAACGCCGCGUGCGGGAUGACGGCCUUCGGGGUGUAAACCGCUUUCGCCUGUGACGAAGCGUGAGUGACGGUAAUGGGUAAAGAAGCACCGGCUAACUACGUG